RNAcentral lists this ribosomal RNA (442 nucleotides) under uncultured bacterium. RNAcentral describes it as "bacterial SSU rRNA". It matches the Rfam family "Bacterial small subunit ribosomal RNA", at positions 28 to 462 of the family's 1533-position model. The record is from RNAcentral.
GACGAACGCUGGCGGCGUGCCUAAUACAUGCAAGUAGAACGCUGAAGGAGGUAGCUUGCUACUUCUGGAUGAGUUGCGAACGGGUGAGUAACGCGUAGGUAACCUGGCUCAUAGCGGGGGAUAACUAUUGGAAACGAUAGCUAAUACCGCAUAACAGUAUUUAUCGCAUGGUAAAUGCUUGAAAGGAGCAACUGCUUCACUAUGAGAUGGACCUGCGUUGUAUUAGCUAGUUGGUAAGUAAAGGCUUACCAAGGCGACGAUACAUAGCCGACCUGAGAGGGUGAUCGGCCACACUGGGACUGAGACACGGGCCCAGACUCCUACGGGAGCAGCAGUAGGGAAUCUUCGGCAAUGGGGGAACCUGACCGAGCAACGCCGCGUGAGUGAAGAAGGGUUUUCGGAUCGUAAAGCUCUGUUGUAAGAGAAGAAUGUGUGUGGGAGU